GAUGAAGAACGCAGCGAAAUGCGAUAAGUAAUGUGAAUUUCAGAAUUCAGUGAAUCAUCGAAUCUUUGAACGCACAUUGCGCCCCCUGGUAUUCCGGGGGGCAUGCCUGUUCGAGCGUCAUUUCACCACUCAAGCCUCGCUUGGUAUUGGGCAACGCGGUCCGCCGCGUGCCUCAAAUCGACCGGCUGGGUCUUCUGUCCCCUAAGCGUUGUGGAAACUAUUCGCUAAAGGGUGUUCGGGAGGCUACGCCGUAAAACAACCCCAUUUCUAAGGUUGACCUCGGAUCAGGUAGGGAUACCCGCUGAACUUAAGCAUAUCAAUAAGCGGAGGA
RNAcentral lists this unclassified non-coding RNA (331 nucleotides) under soil metagenome. RNAcentral's name for it is "partial contains 5.8S ribosomal RNA, internal transcribed spacer 2, and large subunit ribosomal RNA". The stretch from base 1 to 120 matches the Rfam family "5.8S ribosomal RNA", at positions 35 to 154 of the family's 154-position model. The record is from RNAcentral.